GAGAGGGUGAUGAGGAGAGAAAGACAGAAAGGGUACAUAGAUAGUGUACCACUGACCUGUACUGACACCUAGAACACUUUCCCCUAUCUGGAGGAUAAAUAUUUCAUAUGUACAGCUUUUUUAAGUAUAGAAAGAAAGUAAGAGAUGGGAAGUAUUGGAGACAGUAAGAGAUGUGAAGUAUAGGAGACAGUAAGAGAUGUGAAGUAUAGGAGACAGUCAGAGAUGUGAAGUAUAGGAGACAGUCAGAGAUGUGAAGUAUUGGAGACAGUCAGAGAUGUGAAGUAUAGGAGACAGUAAGAGAUGCGAAGUAUAGGAGACAGUAAGAGAUGUGAAGUAUAGGAGACAGUAAGAGAUGUGAAGUAUAGGAGACAGUCAGAGAUGUGAAUUAUAGGAGACAGUAAGAGAUGUGAAGUAUAGGAGACAGUCAGAGAUGUGAAGUAUAGGAGACAGUAAGAGAUGUGAAGUAUAGGAGACAGUCAGAGAUGUGAAGUAUAGGAGACAGUCAGAGAUGUGAAGUAUAGGAGACAGUAAGAGAUGUGAAGUAUAGGAGACAGUCAGAGAUGUGAAGUAUAGGAGACAGUCAGAGAUGUGAAGUAUUGGAGACAGUAAGAGAUGUGAAGUAUAGGAGACAGUAAGAGAUGUGAAGUAUAGGAGACAGUCAGAGAUGUGAAGUAUAGGAGACAGUAAGAGAUGUGAAGUAUAGGAGACAGUCAGAGAUGUGAAGUAUAGGAGACAGUCAGAGAUGUGAAGUAUAGGAGACAGUAAGAGAUGUGAAGUAUAGGAGACAGUCAGAGAUGUGAAGUAUAGGAGACAGUCAGAGAUGUGAAGUAUAGGAGACAGUCAAAGAUGUGAAGUAUAGGAGACAGUCAGAUAUGUGAAAUAUAUGAGACAGUAAGAGAUGUGAAGUAUAGGAGACAGUCAAAGAUGUGAAGUAUAGGAGACAGUAAGAGAUGUGAAGUAUAGGAGACAGUCAGAGAUGUGAAGUAUAGGAGACAGUCAGAGAUGUGAAGUAUAGGAGACAGUCAGAGAUGUGAAGUAUAGGAGACAGUAAGAGAUGUGAAGUAUAGGAGACAGUAAGAGAUGUGAAGUAUAGGAGACAGUAAGAGAUGUGAAGUAUAGGAGACAGUCAGAGAUGUGAAGUAUAGGAGACAGUAAGAGAUGUGAAGUAUAGGAGACAGUAAGAGAUGUGAAGUAUAGGAGACAGUAAGAGAUGUGAAGUAUAGGAGACAGUAAGAGCCACUUAUGUGCAGUCAGUAGGGGGCAGCACUGUUCUCUACUGUACCUGUUAGUGGGAGGGCUCUUUGGCUUCUUCUGUACUUUCCUGGCUUGUCCUGGAGACUCACC
RNAcentral lists this long non-coding RNA (1344 nucleotides) under Salmo salar (Atlantic salmon). RNAcentral describes it as "lncRNA (ENSSSAG00000121201.1)". Lineage: Eukaryota; Metazoa; Chordata; Actinopteri; Salmoniformes; Salmonidae. The record is from RNAcentral.